GCUGGGCAUGGCGGUGCAUGCUUGUAAUCCCAGUGACUCAGGAGGCUGAGGCAGGAGGAUCACAAGUUCAAGGCCAGCCUGGGCAACUUACUGAGAUCCUGUCUCAA
RNAcentral lists this small RNA (107 nucleotides) under Marmota monax (woodchuck). The record is from RNAcentral. Lineage: Eukaryota; Metazoa; Chordata; Mammalia; Rodentia; Sciuridae.